AUUGAACGCUGGCGGCAGGCCUAACACAUGCAAGUCGAGCGAGCGGCGGACGGGUGAGUAAUGUAUGGGAAACUGCCUGAUGGAGGGGGAUAACUACUGGAAACGGUAGCUAAUACCGCAUACCAUCAGAUGUGCCCAGAUGGGAUUAGCUAGUAGGUGGGGUAACGGCUCACCGAGGCGACGAUCCCGAGCUGGUCGGAGAGGAUGACCAGCCAUACUGUAAUGAGGACACGGCCCAGACGCCUACGGGAGGCAGCAGUGGGGAAUAGUGCGCAAUGGGGUAAAGCCUGAUGCAGCCAUGCCGCGUGUGUGAAGAAGGCCUUCGGGUUGUAAAGCACUUUCAGCGUGGAGGCGUUACCCGCAGAAGAAGCACCGGCUAACUCCGUGCCAGCAGCCGCGGUAAUAC
Molecule: ribosomal RNA, 406 nt
Filed under: uncultured bacterium
Lineage: Bacteria
Description: partial 16S ribosomal RNA
Rfam family: Bacterial small subunit ribosomal RNA
Source: RNAcentral